This is a long non-coding RNA of Salvia splendens (bonfire salvia), 412 nucleotides long. RefSeq lists it as uncharacterized. The record is from RefSeq and is a predicted model, not a curated record. Lineage: Eukaryota; Viridiplantae; Streptophyta; Magnoliopsida; Lamiales; Lamiaceae. The transcript has 3 exons.
UGCGAAGUGGAGGACAAAUAGGUGUGCAGUAUGUCGAUGGGUUGGAGAUUGAGACUUCAACAAAAUUAUUAUUUCUAUUAGGUGGAGUGGUGUUAUCCGGGAAUAAACGAUUAAGAGUAAAGCAACAUAUUUUAUAUAUUCUUUAUCGUAAUCAUCUGGAAGGGUUUCCAUAUAAAUCCAACUAUCCAAGGAAACUUAGCUUCUUGCCUCGUCGUCAACACCUUGACUCACCCACCCUGCAAGAGCAACUACCUCCGACUUGGAUCCUUCGGUGCGAGAUGAAUUGCACGAGGAAAUAAGGAAUUAAGGGAGGAAUUAAACUAGAGAUUUGUAACUUAUAAAAACUUUUUUGCUCCAUAUUUUGGUUGUUGAACUAAAUUACCUUCUGGUUUAUCUAUUACAAUUUUCUAUU